This is a non-coding RNA of Cyanistes caeruleus (blue tit), 744 nucleotides long. Lineage: Eukaryota; Metazoa; Chordata; Aves; Passeriformes; Paridae. The record is from RefSeq and is a predicted model, not a curated record.
UCUGUGCUGCUCACCUGAAUCAUCUCCCUAAAACAGGAGGGCAGCACAGGGCAGACACAGAUAUCUGUUCCCAGACACCAGAGUGUGAAAUACUCACAGAGCUUUGGAGAGACUAAAGACUGGGGGGUUUUUAUUUUUAGUUUUAUGUUUGGUCUAACAAAGAGCUCACUGUUUUUAAGAAUCUUACAAUUUCUGAGCUUAAGUCCGUAGGUCAGCCCAGGAAAUCCACUGGUGAUUUAUGUUCACUUUUCCAGACUCUACAGAGGAGAAAAACUCUAAGUAUGAAGGACAAAAGAGUCUAAAGCUACAGAGACACGUAAAGCAAGAUUUUAUCAUGCUUUUAAAACCUCUCAAAAUGAUCGUGAGAGAUAACAGACUACACAGACUUGCCAGACACCACUGCUGGCUUUGGGCCAUUUUCCAUGAGAUGAAGUUGUCCACAAGCAGGAAAGCAGCACACCAUUGCCUCUGACUACACAACUGCUAGUUUAGAUAAGCUUUGCUCUGAUAGAAAGUCAUCAAGCUUGUACUGUUUAAUUUUUUCCUUUCAAGACUGAGUGCAGCACAAGGAGCGAUGGAAGCAGGAGGAACUGAGGGUGGGGAAUAUGGUGACAAUUCUGGCAGUGAAUUCAGUACUGCCAGCGUUUUGAGGCUACAAUAAAGAUUCAAAAAUCUUCAUGUUUCAUGGUAUUUUGAUGCUUUGUUCCCAUGAUGUCUUUUCCUUGUAUGCUCUGACUAAUUAAA